RNAcentral lists this ribosomal RNA (407 nucleotides) under uncultured bacterium. Its description in RNAcentral is "partial 16S ribosomal RNA". It matches the Rfam family "Bacterial small subunit ribosomal RNA", at positions 30 to 526 of the family's 1533-position model. The record is from RNAcentral.
AUUGAACGCUAGCGGGAUGCCUUACACAUGCAAGUCGAACGGAGUGGCGAACGGGUGAGUAAUGUAUCGGAACGUGCCCAGUAGCGGGGGAUAACUACGCGAAAGCGUAGCUAAUCCCGCAUCCUAUUGGAGCGGCCGCUAGCGGAUUAGCUAGUGGGGGGGGUAACGUCUAAGCAAGGAGACGAUCCGUAGCUGGUUUGAGAGGACAACCAGCCACACUGGGACUUGGAAACGGCCCAGCAUCCUACGGGAGGCAGCAGUGGGGAAUGUUGGACAAGGGGGGAAAACCUGAUCCAGCCAUCCCGCGUGGGCGAUGAAGGCCUUCGGGUUGUAAAGCACUUUUGGCAGGAAAGCGGUACCUGCAGAAUAAGCACCGGCUAACUACGUGCCAGCAGCCGCGGUAAUAC